UGCCAUCCUGCAUGGACGUCCUUUUUUAGUU
This 31-nucleotide non-coding RNA is filed under the name Rattus norvegicus (Norway rat). The record is from RNAcentral. Lineage: Eukaryota; Metazoa; Chordata; Mammalia; Rodentia; Muridae.